This 931-nucleotide ribosomal RNA is filed under the name Bacillus pumilus. Its description in RNAcentral is "bacterial SSU rRNA". It matches the Rfam family "Bacterial small subunit ribosomal RNA", at positions 8 to 920 of the family's 1533-position model. Lineage: Bacteria; Bacillati; Bacillota; Bacilli; Caryophanales; Bacillaceae. The record is from RNAcentral.
GAGAGUUUGAUCCUGGCUCAGGACGAACGCUGGCGGCGUGCCUAAUACAUGCAAGUCGAGCGGACAGAAGGGAGCUUGCUCCCGGAUGUUAGCGGCGGACGGGUGAGUAACACGUGGGUAACCUGCCUGUAAGACUGGGAUAACUCCGAGAAACCGGAGCUAAUACCGGAUAGUUCCUUGAACCGCAUGGUUCAAGGAUGAAAGACGGUUUCGGCUGUCACUUACAGAUGGACCCGCGGCGCAUUAGCUAGUUGGUGGGGUAAUGGCUCACCAAGGCGACGAUGCGUAGCCGACCUGAGAGGGUGAUCGGCCACACUGGGACUGAGACACGGCCCAGACUCCUACGGGAGGCAGCAGUAGGGAAUCUUCCGCAAUGGACGAAAGUCUGACGGAGCAACGCCGCGUGAGUGAUGAAGGUUUUCGGAUCGUAAAGCUCUGUUGUUAGGGAAGAACAAGUGCGAGAGUAACUGCUCGCACCUUGACGGUACCUAACCAGAAAGCCACGGCUAACUACGUGCCAGCAGCCGCGGUAAUACGUAGGUGGCAAGCGUUGUCCGGAAUUAUUGGGCGUAAAGGGCUCGCAGGCGGUUUCUUAAGUCUGAUGUGAAAGCCCCCGGCUCAACCGGGGAGGGUCAUUGGAAACUGGGAAACUUGAGUGCAGAAGAGGAGAGUGGAAUUCCACGUGUAGCGGUGAAAUGCGUAGAGAUGUGGAGGAACACCAGUGGCGAAGGCGACUCUCUGGUCUGUAACUGACGCUGAGGAGCGAAAGCGUGGGGAGCGAACAGGAUUAGAUACCCUGGUAGUCCACGCCGUAAACGAUGAGUGCUAAGUGUUAGGGGGUUUCCGCCCCUUAGUGCUGCAGCUAACGCAUUAAGCACUCCGCCUGGGGAGUACGGUCGCAAGACUGAAACUCAAAGGAAUUGACGGGGGC